UGAACAGGGAAAAGCCCAGCACCGAAGCCUGUGGUCAUUUGGUCACUAGGCAAUGUGGUGUUCAGGUCGUUCCAUAGAGGUGCUGCUCCACCCUAAGUCCAGCAAUGAGUACGGUGGUACGGACAUGGCCCACAGAGGGUGAAAGGCCCGUGGGGGUGGAGAUCAGGCAGGCCAGUGCCUCUCUGGGUAGACCUUGGAGUCGGGUUGUUUGUGAAUGCAGCCCAAAGUGGGUGGUAAACUCCAUCCAAGGCUAAAUACUUGCACGAGUCCGAUAGCGAACAAGUACCGUGAGGGAAAGUUGAAAAGUACUUUGAAGAGAGAGUAAACAGUGCGUGAAACCGCUCAGAGGUAAACGGGUGGAGUUGAACUGCAAGCUUCGGGAAUUCAGCUGGUGAGUGUGGUUUGGGCUUGGUCAAGUCGGUUGGACAUUGAGGUCUGUGUAGCGGCAGGUCCUUACUCUCGGGUAAGGAUGCGCGAUACACUUAUCAAGUGUUGUGCGCCUCUUUGUUUAUCGGGCCAAUUUGCCAGUGCACUUUCUCGGAGUGUUCACCACGACCGGCACUGCUGUCUGAUUGCUGUGGUUAAACCGGACUUACAGGGCUCUUGUGGCGUUGUAUGGCCGGGAAGGCAGGUAGCUCGUUGGCUAGCUUGCGGUUUACCGCUGGCGUUUGGUUUUCGAGUGUAAAUAGCUGACCACGAUAUUUCUGUGCAGUGUGUCGGAGACGGCGGCUUGUGGUACGUGCGUGCGUGCCGGUUCUGCUGGCGUGUCCGGGUUUGGUUGUCAUGUUGCUUGUGAAUGCAGGCCUGGCAAUGGUUCGGAUUCGUUUGGUGGGCGGUUGCGUAUGUGGUGCCGUUAAGGGCCAACAGUCUGUGGUGUAGUGGUAGACUAUCCACCUGACCCGUCUUGAAACACGGACCAAGGAGAGUAACAUGUGCGCGAGUCAUUGGGCGUAACGAAACCCACAGGCGCAGUGAAAGUAAAGGCUUGGCUUGUCCAGGCUGAGGUGAGAUCCUGUCGUUUUCACACAUGGUGCCACCAAGCAACGAGCGGCAGGCGCAUCACCGGCCCGUCCCAUGACGUAGACACAUAAUCUUCGGACCAGUGCACCGUCGGGGCGGAGCAUGAGCGUACAUGUUGAGACCCGAAAGAUGGUGAACUAUGCUUGCGCAGGUUGAAGCCAGAGGAAACUCUGGUGGAGGACCGCAGCGAUUCUGACGUGCAAAUCGAUC
This 1230-nucleotide ribosomal RNA is filed under the name Paragonimus westermani. Its description in RNAcentral is "eukaryotic LSU rRNA". It matches the Rfam family "Eukaryotic large subunit ribosomal RNA", at positions 94 to 903 of the family's 3401-position model. The record is from RNAcentral. Lineage: Eukaryota; Metazoa; Platyhelminthes; Trematoda; Plagiorchiida; Troglotrematidae.